This 1721-nucleotide ribosomal RNA is filed under the name Campylobacter jejuni. RNAcentral's name for it is "partial 23S ribosomal RNA". It matches the Rfam family "Bacterial large subunit ribosomal RNA", at positions 1223 to 2925 of the family's 2925-position model. Lineage: Bacteria; Pseudomonadati; Campylobacterota; Epsilonproteobacteria; Campylobacterales; Campylobacteraceae. The record is from RNAcentral.
AAGUGGUAGGAGAGCGUUCUAUUUGCGUCGAAGGUAUACCGGUAAGGAGUGCUGGAGCGAAUAGAAGUGAGCAUGCAGGCAUGAGUAGCGAUAAUUAAUGUGAGAAUCAUUAACGCCGUAAACCCAAGGUUUCCUACGCGAUGCUCGUCAUCGUAGGGUUAGUCGGGUCCUAAGCCGAGUCCGAAAGGGGUAGGCGAUGGCAAAUUGGUUAAUAUUCCAAUACCAACAUUAGUGUGCGAUGGAAGGACGCUUAGGGCUAAGGGGGCUAGCGGAUGGAAGUGCUAGUCUAAGGUCGUAGGAGGUUAUACAGGCAAAUCCGUAUAACAAUACUCCGAGAACUGAAAGGCUUUUUGAAGUCUUCGGAUGGAUAGAAGAACCCCUGAUGCCGUCGAGCCAAGAAAAGUUUCUAAGUUUAGCUAAUGUUGCCCGUACCGUAAACCGACACAGGUGGGUGGGAUGAGUAUUCUAAGGCGCGUGGAAGAACUCUCUUUAAGGAACUCUGCAAAAUAGCACCGUAUCUUCGGUAUAAGGUGUGGUUCGCUUUGUAUUAGGAUUUACUCCGAAAGCAAGGAAACUUACAACAAAGAGUCCCUCCCGACUGUUUACCAAAAACACAGCACUCUGCUAACUCGUAAGAGGAUGUAUAGGGUGUGACGCCUGCCCGGUGCUCGAAGGUUAAUUGAUGGGGUUAGCAUUAGCGAAGCUCUUGAUCGAAGCCCGAGUAAACGGCGGCCGUAACUAUAACGGUCCUAAGGUAGCGAAAUUCCUUGUCGGUUAAAUACCGACCUGCAUGAAUGGCGUAACGAGAUGGGAGCUGUCUCAAAGAGGGAUCCAGUGAAAUUGUAGUGGAGGUGAAAAUUCCUCCUACCCGCGGCAAGACGGAAAGACCCCGUGGACCUUUACUACAGCUUGACACUGCUACUUGGAUAAGAAUGUGCAGGAUAGGUGGGAGGCUUUGAGUAUAUGACGCCAGUUGUAUAUGAGCCAUUGUUGAGAUACCACUCUUUCUUAUUUGGGUAGCUAACCAGCUUGAGUUAUCCUCAAGUGGGACAAUGUCUGGUGGGUAGUUUGACUGGGGCGGUCGCCUCCCAAAUAAUAACGGAGGCUUACAAAGGUUGGCUCAGAACGGUUGGAAAUCGUUCGUAGAGUAUAAAGGUAUAAGCCAGCUUAACUGCAAGACAUACAAGUCAAGCAGAGACGAAAGUCGGUCUUAGUGAUCCGGUGGUUCUGUGUGGAAGGGCCAUCGCUCAAAGGAUAAAAGGUACCCCGGGGAUAACAGGCUGAUCUCCCCCAAGAGCUCACAUCGACGGGGAGGUUUGGCACCUCGAUGUCGGCUCAUCGCAUCCUGGGGCUGGAGCAGGUCCCAAGGGUAUGGCUGUUCGCCAUUUAAAGCGGUACGCGAGCUGGGUUCAGAACGUCGUGAGACAGUUCGGUCCCUAUCUGCCGUGGGCGUAAGAAGAUUGAAGAGAUUUGACCCUAGUACGAGAGGACCGGGUUGAACAAACCACUGGUGUAGCUGUUGUUCUGCCAAGAGCAUCGCAGCGUAGCUAAGUUUGGAAAGGAUAAACGCUGAAAGCAUCUAAGCGUGAAGCCAACUCUAAGAUGAAUCUUCUCUAAGCUCUCUAGAAGACUACUAGUUUGAUAGGCUGGGUGUGUAAUGGAUGAAAGUCCUUUAGCUGACCAGUACUAAUAGAGCGUUUGGCUUAUCUUUAAUAAAGCAU